AACCUAUCUCAGCUUCAGGAAAUGGAAGUAAGUGAUUGCGAGAACUUGGAAGAGAUUGUGAUUGAUCAAAGUGGCAUCGGAGAAGACAAUGUAGAAGUGGCUGAGUUUAGUCAUUUACGUUCCUUGACACUACAAUUUCUACCAGUGCUCAAAAGCUUUUGCUUCAAAGUGAAGGAGUCGACAAUUGUUGAUGGAGGAUUCAAUGGGGUUGUGAUAGAGGAUGAGGUUCAUAAUCCACG
This 239-nucleotide unclassified non-coding RNA is filed under the name Hevea brasiliensis (rubber tree). The record is from RNAcentral. Lineage: Eukaryota; Viridiplantae; Streptophyta; Magnoliopsida; Malpighiales; Euphorbiaceae.